AGAGAAGCAAAGCCGCGAGGUAGAGCAAAUCUCGAAAAAACAUCUCAGUUCAGACUGCAGGCUGCAACUCGCCUGCACGAAGUCGGAAUUGCUAGUAAUCGUAGGUCAGCAUACUACGGUGAAUACGUUCCCGGGCCUUGUACACACCGCCCGUCAAACCAUGAGAGUUGGCAACACCCGAAGUCGGUAGUCUAACCGCAAGGAGGACGCCGCCGAAGGUGGGGUCGAUGAUUAGGGUUAAGUCGUAACAAGGUAAC
RNAcentral lists this ribosomal RNA (257 nucleotides) under uncultured bacterium. Its description in RNAcentral is "partial 16S ribosomal RNA". It matches the Rfam family "Bacterial small subunit ribosomal RNA", at positions 1243 to 1500 of the family's 1533-position model. The record is from RNAcentral.